CGGGUUUUUGAGGGUGUUUUUACGGUUCUAGUGACAGAUUGGCUAGAUUUAUAAAUCGUCAAUAGCAGAAACACUCUUGAAAACACGGCUUAACAUCUCUGUGGCCUUGGAAAACAGUCAUGUUCGGUCACGUGAUAGUGAAGGAGAGAUGAGGAUGGAAGGAAUAAACAAGAGA
Long non-coding RNA from Portunus trituberculatus (swimming crab), 175 nucleotides. RefSeq lists it as uncharacterized. The transcript has 2 exons. Lineage: Eukaryota; Metazoa; Arthropoda; Malacostraca; Decapoda; Portunidae. The record is from RefSeq and is a predicted model, not a curated record.